This 73-nucleotide transfer RNA is filed under the name Petrimonas mucosa. It matches the Rfam family "tRNA". Rfam says of the family: Transfer RNA (tRNA) molecules are approximately 80 nucleotides in length. Lineage: Bacteria; Pseudomonadati; Bacteroidota; Bacteroidia; Bacteroidales; Dysgonomonadaceae. RNAcentral also lists the same sequence under 4 other names. The record is from Rfam by way of RNAcentral.
GAUUCGCUAGCUCAGUUGGUAGAGCACAUCCCUUUUAAGGAUGGGGUCCUGGGUUCGAGCCCCAGGCGGAUCA